AAACCCUACCCACCACGACACAGCACCCGACCUCCUCUUCCUCAUCCUCCCCAGCACCCAACUACUCUCCGCCUCGGCCUCCAUCUCCAUUCUCCUCCUUCUCUGCCUCCGUCUCCGUUCUCCUCCUUCUCCUCCUCCGACACACCUCUUCUCUCAUCUCUCUUCUCAAAUCCACCAAUGAUGCAGUCCAUGCCGGAGCUCCGCCUUGUUCUCUCGUCGAGCCCACCAUGGAAGAUAAGACCUAACAUUCAAGACAAGGCUCGCCGUCGAUUCAGGUUUGUUGAGUGGAUGGAUUGUUGCUGUUCCGGGACUGAAAUUACUCUCAAGAUGUUGGAUAUGAAGACCAUCUUCUUUUUCCUGUAGUUUCUGCAGUCCUUCCUGUAGGAAUACCUUGUUACAGCAUCCAAGAACCAGAUCUUGUAUGUCUUCUUCAGUUCCCCUAGACUCCAGGAGGACUAAUUGAGCUUCUUGUUGUUUUGAUGCCAAUACCAGGAGGACUUUGAGCUUCUUGUUGCCAAACAAAUACGGAGUCACUCCAUUUUCUCAAUUGAAAGGAUUAUUCAUUCAAGGUCCUAUUUUCAUCAGCUUCUUUCUUGCUAUUAGAAACAUGGCUGAGAAAGUUCCGUCUUUUCAAAAUGGUGGUGCUCUCUGGUUUACUGAUCUCACAACUCCAGAUAGCAUGUUGAUCCUUCCAAUUCUGACAGCAAGGACAUUCUGGAUCACAGUUGAGCGUUUCCUCCUCAGUGCAACAUGCAGGAAGGUCUGGAAGGAAAUCCUGUUGCGCAAACUAUGAAAACCUAUUCUAGAAUCCUAACUGCCAUUGCAAUUCCAGUUAUGAUGAGCUUCCUCAAGGCACUGUUCUGUUAUUGACUCACCUCCAACAUCUUAUCUCUUACAUAUGGAUUAGUGAUGAGAUGCUCAAAUGUGAUUUAUGUACUCUUGGAACUAUGGCAGUGAGAUCUUGCUUCACAUUGAUCAAGUGAUUAUUUAUUAAUUUAACUAGUUGGUCCACAGGUACGUACAUUCUCGAUUCUCAACAAAUACUUUUCCCAGCUGGGACCGUGCUCAGCCCAUGUGUGUCAUUGACCACAAUGGAGAAAUCAAUACCCUUAAGAGGAAAUGUUAACUGGAUGAAGGCACGUGAGGGACUGCUUAAGUGUGCUGAACUUGGUUUAUCAAAAAAUGAGUUAAAGAAGCUGUUACCAAUUGUGGAUGCCAGUUCAUCCUAUUCAGAGAGUAGAAGACAAGGGGAGGGAUUAUGGAAAAUACAUCAGAUCAGGGGAGCAUGUAUGGUCCGCGAGAGAGACUGGAUCUGCUGAGAGACAACGUGGAACAAUUGUGUUCCUUCACGGGGCUCCCACUCAGUCUUAUAGCUACAGAAAUGUUAUGUCUCAGGUCUGCUGUAUCUUGCUUUGUAUGUUAUUUAGUACCUGUACAUAUUCAUUUUGGUGAUUUUGGCUUACUGUAAAUGCUUAUGGCAAAGGGCUUAAGAAACACAUUAGUUCAUCUCAGAGCAGUCGUUUCAUCAUCCCAAGUUCAUGUAACUUGAAUCUUUAAUUUGGCUACACAGGUUUAUUUAUCACCUUAUACUUUGUUUUGGGGACAAUAUAAUGUGCAUUAAUUUUGUUUUUCAGAAGAUUUAUGUUUCCACUACAGAAAAAGAGUUCCACGACGAAUUUGACAGGUUACUAGAUGUUUAUGCAAGCGGCAUUUCUCUUUUUGCUGACAGCCAUGAUAUUAUAUGUUACCCAGAUCAAAAUGACAAGGAUUUGGAUGGGGCGAGUGAGAGGCAGGAUCUUGAAGGAAAGGAGCUAAAGCAAGAAACUGCUUUGCAUGAACUGGAGCUGGUUGCUGUCCAUGCUCUUCAUGAACUUGUUUCUUUAGUUCACAGUCAUGUCAAUGCUGCAGAGCAAUAUGAUUUUGAGUAAGGCUAGAUUUUGCUGACCAUUUUGUAGUAGAUGUAGUGAUAUCAGGAAGAAUUGUGAACAAAUUAUACUGCAUGUAGUUAUUGCAGUAGUGGUAUCUUUUAGACUAGCCUUAAAGUAGGUUAGGGUUUUUUGUGCAAAACUUUUGAAGCUACCUCAAGCUCUAAUUUUGGAUAGAAAUUAAUGCAAUUCCCUAAUAGUUGAAUUU
This is an RNA transcript of Rosa chinensis, 2133 nucleotides long. It is a transcript of the gene named mitochondrial inner membrane protein OXA1-like, with no coding region annotated. The transcript has 12 exons. NCBI's taxonomy places the organism in Eukaryota, Viridiplantae, Streptophyta, Magnoliopsida, Rosales, Rosaceae. The record is from RefSeq and is a predicted model, not a curated record.